CAUGAUGAUGAUGACGAUGAUGAAACCCUCACCGGUCGAGACAGUGAGCUCCAAGAUGAACCCAGGCCUUCCCCAGCCGGCAAGAAGACUACAUCUGCUGGACGAAGUGAACCUGACCUGCAUGACCCACCAACAUAACCAUUUUAUUUUCAAUGCCUCAAUUUCCUUUUAUUAUAUUU
Molecule: long non-coding RNA, 179 nt
Organism: Perca flavescens (yellow perch)
Lineage: Eukaryota; Metazoa; Chordata; Actinopteri; Perciformes; Percidae
Exons: 3
Source: RefSeq, a predicted model, not a curated record